Molecule: ribosomal RNA, 200 nt
Filed under: uncultured bacterium
Lineage: Bacteria
Description: partial 16S ribosomal RNA
Rfam family: Bacterial small subunit ribosomal RNA
Source: RNAcentral
UACGGAGGGUGCAAGCGUUAUCCGGAUUUACUGGGUUUAAAGGGUGCGUAGGCGGAUUAAUAAGUCAGUGGUGAAAGCCUGGAGCUCAACUCCAGAACUGCCAUUGAUACUGUUAAUCUUGAGUGUAGAUGAAGUGGGCGGAAUGUAACGUGUAGCGGUGAAAUGCUUAGAUAUGUUACAGAACACCGAUUGCGAAGGCA